Molecule: ribosomal RNA, 230 nt
Filed under: uncultured bacterium
Lineage: Bacteria
Description: partial 16S ribosomal RNA
Rfam family: Bacterial small subunit ribosomal RNA
Source: RNAcentral
AAGCGUGCGCAGGCGGUUAUGUAAGACAGAUGUGAAAUCCCCGGGCUCAACCUGGGAACUGCAUUUGUGACUGCAUGGCUAGAGUACGGUAGAGGGGGGAUGGAAUUCCGCGUGUAGCAGUGAAAUGCGUAGAUAUGCGGAGGAACACCGAUGGCGAAGGCAAUCCCCUGGACCUGUACUGACGCUCAUGCACGAAAGCGUGGGGAGCAAACAGGAUUAGAUACCCUGGU